This 553-nucleotide ribosomal RNA is filed under the name uncultured bacterium. Its description in RNAcentral is "bacterial SSU rRNA". It matches the Rfam family "Bacterial small subunit ribosomal RNA", at positions 88 to 654 of the family's 1533-position model. The record is from RNAcentral.
CUGAUCAGUGGCGAACGGGUGAGUAACACGUGAGUAACCUGCCCCUGACUCUGGGAUAACCCCGGGAAACCGGAGCUAAUACCGGAUACGACACCAGCCUGCAUGGGCAUGGUGUGGAAAGUUUUUUCGGUCUGGGAUGGACUCGCGGCCUAUCAGCUUGUUGGUGAGGUAAUGGCUCACCAAGGCGACGACGGGUAGCCGGCCUGAGAGGGCGACCGGCCACACUGGGACUGAGACACGGCCCAGACUCCUACGGGAGGCAGCAGUGGGGAAUAUUGCACAAUGGGCGAAAGCCUGAUGCAGCGACGCCGCGUGAGGGAUGACGGCCUUCGGGUUGUAAACCUCUUUCAGCAGGGAAGAAGCGGAAGUGACGGUACCUGCAGAAGAAGCACCGGCUAACUACGUGCCAGCAGCCGCGGUAAUACGUAGGGUGCGAGCGUUGUCCGGAAUUAUUGGGCGUAAAGAGCUUGUAGGUGGUUUGUCGCGUCUGCUGUGAAAAUCCGAGGCUCAACCUCGGACUUGCAGUGGGUACGGGCAGACUAGAGUGUGGUAG